UUAAGCGACUAAGCGUACACGGUGGAUGCCCUGGCAGUCAGAGGCGAUGAAGGACGUGCUAAUCUGCGAUAAGCGUCGGUGAGGUGAUAUGAACCGUUAUAACCGGCGAUUUCCGAAUGGGGAAACCCAGUGUGUUUCGACACACUAUCAUUAACUGAAUCCAUAGGUUAAUGAGGCGAACCGGGGGAACUGAAACAUCUAAGUACCCCGAGGAAAAGAAAUCAACCGAGAUUCCCCCAGUAGCGGCGAGCGAACGGGGAGGAGCCCAGAGCCUGAAUCAGUGUGUGUGUUAGUGGAAGCGUCUGGAAAGGCGUGCGAUACAGGGUGACAGCCCCGUACACAAAAAUGCACAUAUUGUGAGCUCGAUGAGUAGGGCGGGACACGUGGUAUCCUGUCUGAAUAUGGGGGGACCAUCCUCCAAGGCUAAAUACUCCUGACUGACCGAUAGUGAACCAGUACCGUGAGGGAAAGGCGAAAAGAACCCCGGCGAGGGGAGUGAAAAAGAACCUGAAACCGUGUACGUACAAGCAGUGGGAGCCUCUUAAUGGGGUGACUGCGUACCUUUUGUAUAAUGGGUCAGCGACUUAUAUUCUGUAGCAAGGUUAACCGAAUAGGGGAGCCGAAGGGAAACCGAGUCUUAACUGGGCGUUAAGUUGCAGGGUAUAGACCCGAAACCCGGUGAUCUAGCCAUGGGCAGGUUGAAGGUUGGGUAACACUAACUGGAGGACCGAACCGACUAAUGUUGAAAAAUUAGCGGAUGACUUGUGGCUGGGGGUGAAAGGCCAAUCAAACCGGGAGAUAGCUGGUUCUCCCCGAAAGCUAUUUAGGUAGCGCCUCGUGAAUUCAUCUCCGGGGGUAGAGCACUGUUUCGGCAAGGGGGUCAUCCCGACUUACCAACCCGAUGCAAACUGCGAAUACCGGAGAAUGUUAUCACGGGAGACACACGGCGGGUGCUAACGUCCGUCGUGAAGAGGGAAACAACCCAGACCGCCAGCUAAGGUCCCAAAGUCAUGGUUAAGUGGGAAACGAUGUGGGAAGGCCCAGACAGCCAGGAUGUUGGCUUAGAAGCAGCCAUCAUUUAAAGAAAGCGUAAUAGCUCACUGGUCGAGUCGGCCUGCGCGGAAGAUGUAACGGGGCUAAACCAUGCACCGAAGCUGCGGCAGCGACACUAUGUGUUGUUGGGUAGGGGAGCGUUCUGUAAGCCUGUGAAGGUGGCCUGUGAGGGUUGCUGGAGGUAUCAGAAGUGCGAAUGCUGACAUAAGUAACGAUAAAGCGGGUGAAAAGCCCGCUCGCCGGAAGACCAAGGGUUCCUGUCCAACGUUAAUCGGGGCAGGGUGAGUCGACCCCUAAGGCGAGGCCGAAAGGCGUAGUCGAUGGGAAACAGGUUAAUAUUCCUGUACUUGGUGUUACUGCGAAGGGGGGACGGAGAAGGCUAUGUUGGCCGGGCGACGGUUGUCCCGGUUUAAGCGUGUAGGCUGGUUUUCCAGGCAAAUCCGGAAAACCAAGGCUGAGGCGUGAUGACGAGGCACUACGGUGCUGAAGCGACAAAUGCCCUGCUUCCAGGAAAAGCCUCUAAGCAUCAGGUAACAUCAAAUCGUACCCCAAACCGACACAGGUGGUCAGGUAGAGAAUACCAAGGCGCUUGAGAGAACUCGGGUGAAGGAACUAGGCAAAAUGGUGCCGUAACUUCGGGAGAAGGCACGCUGAUAUGUAGGUGAAGCGACUUGCUCGUGGAGCUGAAAUCAGUCGAAGAUACCAGCUGGCUGCAACUGUUUAUUAAAAACACAGCACUGUGCAAACACGAAAGUGGACGUAUACGGUGUGACGCCUGCCCGGUGCCGGAAGGUUAAUUGAUGGGGUUAGCGGCAACGCGAAGCUCUUGAUCGAAGCCCCGGUAAACGGCGGCCGUAACUAUAACGGUCCUAAGGUAGCGAAAUUCCUUGUCGGGUAAGUUCCGACCUGCACGAAUGGCGUAAUGAUGGCCAGGCUGUCUCCACCCGAGACUCAGUGAAAUUGAACUCGCUGUGAAGAUGCAGUGUACCCGCGGCAAGACGGAAAGACCCCGUGAACCUUUACUAUAGCUUGACACUGAACAUUGAGCCUUGAUGUGUAGGAUAGGUGGGAGGCUUUGAAGUGUGGACGCCAGUCUGCAUGGAGCCGACCUUGAAAUACCACCCUUUAAUGUUUGAUGUUCUAACGUUGGCCCGUAAUCCGGGUUGCGGACAGUGUCUGGUGGGUAGUUUGACUGGGGCGGUCUCCUCCUAAAGAGUAACGGAGGAGCACGAAGGUUGGCUAAUCCUGGUCGGACAUCAGGAGGUUAGUGCAAUGGCAUAAGCCAGCUUGACUGCGAGCGUGACGGCGCGAGCAGGUGCGAAAGCAGGUCAUAGUGAUCCGGUGGUUCUGAAUGGAAGGGCCAUCGCUCAACGGAUAAAAGGUACUCCGGGGAUAACAGGCUGAUACCGCCCAAGAGUUCAUAUCGACGGCGGUGUUUGGCACCUCGAUGUCGGCUCAUCACAUCCUGGGGCUGAAGUAGGUCCCAAGGGUAUGGCUGUUCGCCAUUUAAAGUGGUACGCGAGCUGGGUUUAGAACGUCGUGAGACAGUUCGGUCCCUAUCUGCCGUGGGCGCUGGAGAACUGAGGGGGGCUGCUCCUAGUACGAGAGGACCGGAGUGGACGCAUCACUGGUGUUCGGGUUGUCAUGCCAAUGGCACUGCCCGGUAGCUAAAUGCGGAAGAGAUAAGUGCUGAAAGCAUCUAAGCACGAAACUUGCCCCGAGAUGAGUUCUCCCUGU
This 2790-nucleotide ribosomal RNA is filed under the name Escherichia coli TOP382-1. Its description in RNAcentral is "bacterial LSU rRNA". It matches the Rfam family "Bacterial large subunit ribosomal RNA". The record is from RNAcentral. Lineage: Bacteria; Pseudomonadati; Pseudomonadota; Gammaproteobacteria; Enterobacterales; Enterobacteriaceae.